GAAAGAGAAACACAGCAGGAAAGUACCGAAUAAAUUUAAUUUUAGUCUGCCAUGGGCAAGUUAUCAUCCUCUAUCUUGCUUUCUUUGCAUAAGAAUGUAUUAUGUUACUGAGAAUGAAGCUUAAAAAAAUAUUUGGUUUAUUGAUAUCAGUGGGAUGUUCUUAUGUGGAUUUUGAGAUCAGCUUAGUCAGGGAAAAAAGAGUGUCCAAAAAAAAAAAAAAAAGAAAAAGAAAAAAUAGACAUGUGAAAGUGACUUUUACUUACUUAUAUUGGCAAUUCUUGUGAGAGGUCUUGCAGUUUAAGAAAACUCACAAUGACAUAAAAUUGGUUACUUAAGACACACCUAAGUUUUUAAUUGUAUUUCUAGCAUCUUUUAUCAUGAGAAAAUAGCAAAAAAACCAAAUCACAACUCUUGCAAAUUAAUCUAGUUUGGGGAAGAAAAUAGAUUUUUGGAAUAAAAAUCUUCCAUGCAGUUCAAUCUGGUUAAAACACCGUAACACUUUCUGUUUCUUCAAAGAGGAGAGUAAUAUUUUUAAAAAAAAAAAACAACCUAGAAGUCUUCUCAAAUAGUACUUGCAAAAACCCCUCUCCCAUAGCUGUUUCUCAGGGUCAUGUUGUUGUGGACGUCAAGGCUGAAAUGAGCUGUUUUCCAAGCUAUUACUCCAGGCAAGGAAAAUUGUCUUUUGCAGCAGGAAGGAUAAAGAAUGGGAGAAAGGCUGGUUUUGCUACUGAAUAAUAAGUACCAAGGAAGAAUUCGAUUACUUGAUCCAGAGUCUCAGAGCACCAAAGCUGGUCCUGCAACAUCUGAGAAAUAUAAGAAAAAGAAACCUGCUUCUUCCCACUGCUUUCAAAAAGGAGUUGAUGGGGUACUUGCCACCAACAAAAAAUUCCUCUGUCAUGAGACUGCUGAAGUCAGUGGCUGUGCAGCCUGAGUCCCAGGAUAAGAUAAUUAUUACUCUGAUCUGGUAAUGAAAGUUAUUGUAGCAUAUAUGAUCAAAAUGGACCUUGUCCAUAAUUUGUAGCAUAGCAACUAGGUAAGUGAAGAAAAAACCCAGUUGAUGUAUCUGCCAGUAAUUGAUUUUUUUCCCUGUAUAAGGAAGAGCUGAUUAUGCAACAACGCAAUCCUUGGGAUUAUUAAGGAAAAAAAUAAAAUAAAAUAAAAUAAAAUAAAAUAAAAUAAA
RNAcentral lists this long non-coding RNA (1180 nucleotides) under Cyanistes caeruleus (blue tit). RNAcentral's name for it is "lncRNA (ENSCCEG00000009632.1)". Lineage: Eukaryota; Metazoa; Chordata; Aves; Passeriformes; Paridae. The record is from RNAcentral.